Molecule: ribosomal RNA, 557 nt
Filed under: uncultured Geobacteraceae bacterium
Lineage: Bacteria; Pseudomonadati; Thermodesulfobacteriota; Desulfuromonadia; Geobacterales; Geobacteraceae
Description: bacterial SSU rRNA
Rfam family: Bacterial small subunit ribosomal RNA
Source: RNAcentral
YUUUYYSGWRMGCCCUUAGAGUUUGAUCCUGGCUCAGAACGAACGCUGGCGGCGUGCUUAACACAUGCAAGUCGAACGUGAUCCGGAGCUUGCUCCGGUGAAAGUGGCGCACGGGUGAGUAUCGCGUGGAUAACCUGCCCUGGUAUCUGGGAUAACAUCUCGAAAGGGGUGCUAAUACCGGAUAAGCCCACGGACUCCUCGGAGUCUGCGGGAAAAGGUGGCCUCUAUUUAUAAGCUACCGUAUCAGGAUGGGUCCGCGUACCAUUAGCUAGUUGGUGGGGUAAUGGCCUACCAAGGCUACGAUGGUUAGCUGGUCUGAGAGGAUGAUCAGCCACACUGGAACUGAGACACGGUCCAGACUCCUACGGGAGGCAGCAGUGGGGAAUUUUGCGCAAUGGGGGAAACCCUGACGCAGCAACGCCGCGUGAGUGAUGAAGGCUUUCGGGUCGUAAAGCUCUGUCAGAGGGGAAGAAAUGAAACGUGCUAAUAUCACGUUUUCUUGACGGUACCCUCAAAGGAAGCACCGGCUAACUCCGUGCCAGCAGCCGCGGUAAUAC